CAUCAUUUUAGCCAUUUAAAAGCAUACAAUUCAUGACUUUUGGUACAUUCACAAUAUUGUGUAACCACCAUCACUACCUAAUUCCAGAACAGGAAAUUCUGUACCAGUUAAGUAGUCACUCCCCAUCCCCUGUCCUCCCAGCCCCUGACAACCAUUAAUCUGCUUUUUGGCUGUCUCGAUUUGCCUAUUCUGGAUAUUUCAUAUAAACUAAUGAAUACAACAUGUGAUCUUUUGUUACUGGCUUCUUUCACUUGGAAUAAGGUUUUCAAAGUCCACCCAUGUUGUAGCAUGAAUCAGUCCUUCAUUCCUUUAAUGGCUGAAUAAUAUUCUGUUGUACAUUAUUCAGCCCUAACGAUGGUUGUAUAAUGCAUUCGAAUGUUACACCACAUUUCAUUGAUUCAUUCAAUUCACGCACAUUCAGAUUGCUUCCACAUUUUGGCUGUAAAGAAUAAUGCUGCUAUUAAUAUUCAUGUACAGACAGUCCCUGACUUAUGAUGGCUUAACUUAUGAUUUUUCAACUUUAUAGUGGUGUAAAAAUGAUAUGCAUUCAGUAGAAACCAUACUUCGAGUACCCAUAUGACCAUUCUGCUUUUCACUUUCAGAACAAUAGUCAAUAAAUUACAUGAGAUAUUCAAUACUUUACUAUAAAAUAGGCUUUGUCUUAGACCAGGGGUGUCUAAUCUUCUGGCUUCCCUGGGCCACAUUGGAAGAAGAAGAAUUGUCUUGGGCCACAUAUAAAAUACACUAACACUAAUGAUGGCUGAUGAGCUAAAAAAAAAAUCACAAAAAAGUCUCAUAAUGUUUUAACAAAAUUUACAACUUUGUGUUGAGCUGCAUUCAAAGCUGUUCCUGGGCUGCAUGCAGCCCUCAGGCCAUGGGUUGGACAAGCUUGUGUUAGAUGAUUUUGCCUAACAGUAGGCUAAUAUAAGUGUUCUGAGCAUGUUUAAGUUAUGUUAGGUUAAGCUAUGAUGUUUGGUAGGUUAGGUGUAUUAUGCAUUUUCAACUUAUGAGAUUUUCAGCUUACAAUGGGUUUAUCAUCAGGUUGUAACCUCAUCAUAAGUUGAGGAACAUGUGUACAGAGUUUUUUUGACUAUGCAUAUUUCUCUUAAGUUACACUAAGGGGUGAAAUUUCUGGGUCAUAUGGUUGCUUUAUGUCUAACUUUUUGAGGAACCGUCAGAGUAUUUUCCAGAGUGGCUGUACUAUUGUUCAUUUCCAACAGUAAUGUAGCAGCGUUCCAAUAUUUCCACAUCCUCAACACUUGUUAUAUUUUCAUUCUUCCCAACCUAGUAGUUGUGAACCACAUUUUCUUUAUCCAUUCCCCAGCAGUUGAGGGACAUUUGGGUUGUUCCCACCUUUUUACUAUUAUAAACAACACUACAAAUAAUACCAUGAACAACUGUGUACAACACAGGUGUGUGUUCAAACAAACACUUUGUUUGAACAUAUGCUCUUCAAUCUCUUGGGUAUAUGACUAAGAAUGGAAUGGGUGGGUCAUAUGGUAAUUCUAUGUUGAUUUUUUGAGGAACCACAAAACUAGCUUUUACAGUGGCUGCAUCAUUUUACGUCUCUACCAGCAGUGGGAUUCCUGCAGACUCUCAUCAACAGGCAAUGAAAAGUGAUGAGCAAAUUUUCUUUGACUCUCAUUUCAUUUUGCCUCUUUUAUUUUGAAAUUUAAAUAAUAGACAAAGAGGAGAGUAAGCAUUUUAUAUUUACCACCCAGAAAUGAACAACAUUAGUGCAUUGUUUUGGCUUCAAAUAUUUUUAAGUAAAUAGAACAUAACAGAUUAAAAAACCUAAGCCCCCUUUUCCCCUUUACCACACCUAUUACGUGGCCCCUCUCCAGAGAUAAUGAUUAUCACAAGUUGGUAUCUGUCCUUCUAGACUAUAUCUUAUUAGUAUUACAAAUAUUACAUGUCUCAACAUGUUCUUUAAACUUUAGGUAUGUGCUAUCAUACUGUUUUCAUCCUGCAACUUGCCUUUUUUCUAAAAAGAGCUUUAUUGAGGUAUAUAACUGGCACACAAUAAACUGCACAUAUUUAAUGCAUACAGUUGGAUGAGUUUGGACAUAUGCCUACAUCCAUGGAGCCAUCACCACAGUCAAGUUAACAGACAUAACUAUAAGCUCCAAAAGUUUCCUUGUGUCCCUUUAUUUUGGGAUAUGUGCAUGUAUGGUGAAAACAUUUAACACAAACUCUCAUCUUUAAUAAAUUUUAAAGUGUAUAAUACAGCACUGUUGACUGUGUAUUAAUACGAUGCUAUGUAGAUCUCUUCAACUAAUUCAUCUUGCAUCACUGAAACUUUCCUCUCCCCUGAAACAUGUCUUUAACUGUUUUUUUGAAGUCUGUCCAGUGACGUGCUAGUAAAUGUUUAACAACCAGCUUUUGUGGGGAGGGAAUGAUAUGUAGCUUUUGCUAAUUUCCAUGUUGUAAAUACUCUUAACAUAGCUUAUACCAAGCUAUAGAAGUAACAUCAGCCAGCUCACAAAACUGAAAUGUUAGCAUUUAGUUCUCAUGAGCUAGCUUCAGCAUGCUACUAAAUCCGUCCCUGUUGAUGUGGAGAUCUGAGUUUUGCUUUUUAGUUUUUAUAUGUUAAGACUGUAUCACAAUGUUUUUAUCCAUCACCCUAUUGAUGGACGUCUAGACUAUGUCUAGGGCUUCACUGCUACAAGAUGGUGCUACAGUAAACAUUCUUGUGCAUAGCCCUUGUGCACAUGUGCAAGGAUUUCUGGAGCAGAAGGUAUGUUUACUAGAUGUGGAAACACUGUCCUCUGAAGUAGUUGCCCAGUCCACCCACUUCACAAGCAGUAUGUGAGAGAUCUUAUUUCCCCACAACCUUGGCAAUACUUGGUCUCAUCAGACUUGGUUUUUGCCCAUCUAAAGGUUAUAAUUCCAUUGAUUUUAUACAUAGUUGUCCCUCACUGUGAGAUCCAGUAACUAUUCAUAAUUACCUAUACGCUUAUAAUUUCUUUUUUUCCCCCAUUUAACUCCAGUAUUUGUCUGUCUCUAGUUGAUUGUAAUGAAUGCAAGAGGCUGUUGUGGAGUGUCAAUGCCAGACCCCAAAUAAGGGCAACACGGCUACUUAGCUUCUUUCUGAAUUUAAAAGAAAUGUAUAGCUUUAAUUUGGGAAUUUAGAAACAGAAGCUAAGGUGUCUGUAAGCCUGUAUUAGUUAUUGUAGCCUUUACCUGCAAGCAUCAAAGAACCAUAGCAGCAGUGACUUAAACAAUUGUGAUGGGCAUUUAUUUCAAGCAAUAAGAAGUCUGAAGCUAGUAAAGGAGGCAGUGGUGCCAUCCUGGACCCAGGCUCCUGCCAUUCUUCUCUGCCACCCUUAGCUGUAGGCUGUAAUUCUCACGCUCCUCAUCUCACGGUUGCAAGAUGGCUGCCGCAGCUCUAGGCUUCACAUCAGCGCUCAAGGCGGAAGGAGCAGUGCUUGAGUAGAAACACAAGAGCUUUCACAUAAAUACCUAGAAGCCUUUUGUCAGCAUCACUAACCAGACCUGUGUCACAGGCCACUCAGUGUGUUAGGCAAGUAUUUAAUGGGAUAUAUUUUCCGUCGUCCUCUGAACAAAAUUGUAUUCUGUUAGGAUGGGAAAAGGGAAGAAGGGAAUUAUCUGCAACAAGAGUUAUUUGGAAUGUGGAUUUUAGAGACAUAAUUUUUUCAUAGUAGCAUCAAAUUGGGUGAAUACUGGGAAAUUAUUCAGAGAUAUAUACCAUCCAGAACAAGAACCACCACCACAGAACACACAGUCGCCACAUUCCAUUGAUUUAUAGGCUGCUGUUUUGUUAUUUUCCACUAUCUAUUAGGUAUCUAAAUUUCACUUCUCUUUGUUCCUUUUUGCCAAUUCAAAAGAAUUUAAAAUGUUAGAAUGAACAAAUACUAAUGAGGCGCAUGUUACCUAAGGAUGAGUUUUCAGGCAUUCCUUGUGCCACAAAUAUGAAGAAAACGGAAUCAUUAUAGGCUCUAGGGUGCGGUAGAGAAGCACAUGGGACUAAAACAACUUGGAUUUGUCAUUUACUGUUUUGUUUGUAGGACAAGUCUCUUUUAGUGUCUCAUAUUAUUGACAUAACUCAUGAAUGCUUUUUUCCAGAGUUGAUCACACUUAACAAUAUGUGCAGGCAGGACCGAAAAAAGGUGUGGUGCCUUCCAGCCCAUAAAUCAAAGUUUUCUCUUGUCACUGCCGUGUAAGAAGUGCCUUUUGCCUCCUGCCAUGAUUCUGAGGCUUCCCCAGCCAUGUGGAACUGUAAGUCCAAUUAAAUCUCUUUUUGUUCCCAAUUUUGGGUAUCUUUAUCAGCAGCAUGAAAACGAACUAAUACAGUAAAAGAGAACCCUAAUACAACUCGUCUCUGCUAAAACAAUACAAAAAAAGAGCAAGGGAUGGUGGUACACAUCUGUAGUCCCAGAUACUUGGGAGGCUGAGGCAGGAGAAUUGCUUGAACCUGGGAGGUGGAGGUUGCAGUGACCUGAGAUCACACCACUGCACUUCCAGCCUGGGCAGCAGAGCAAGACUCCAUCUCAAAAAAAAAAAAAAAAAAAAAAGAAAGAAAGAACAUACCUCAGUGUGAUAAGGGCCACAUGUGAGAAUCCUACAGCUAAUAUUAAAUGGGAAAAAAUGGAAAGCCUUUGCAUUAAGAACUAGAAUAAGACAAGGAUGCCCACUUUCACCACUUUUAUUCAACAUAGUACUAGCCAAAGCAAUUAGUCAAGAGAAAGAAAUAAAGGGCAUGCAAAUUGGAAAGGAAGAAGUUGACUUAUCCUUGUUUGCAAACAACGCGAUCUUAUAUUUAGAAAAACCUAAAGAGUCCACCAAAAAAACCUAUUAGAAGUGACAGAUUCAGCAAAGUUACAGGAUAUAAGAUCAACAUACAAAAAUCAGUAAAAUUUCUAUAUGCCAGCAGCCAACAAUCUGAAAAAGAAACCAACAAAGCAAUCUUACAACAUCUACAAAUAAAAUGCCUAGGAAUAAAUUUAGGAGGUGGAAGACUUCUACAAGGAAAACUACAAAACAUUGAUUAAAGAAAUUGAAGAGGAUAAAAAGGGCAAGACAUCCCAUGCUCACUUUUCAGAAGAAUUAAUAUUGUUAAAAUGACAAUACUACCCAAAGCAAUCUACAGAUUUGAUGCAAUUCCUAUAAAAAUACCAAUGACAGUUCUUCACAGAAAUAGAAAAAAAAAAUCCUAAAAUUUAUAUGAAAACACGAAAGACCCCAAAUAGCCAAAGCAAUCCUGAACAAAAUGAACAAAGCUGGAAGCAUCACAUUAUCUGACUUCAAAUUAUACUACAGGCCAGAUGCAGUGGCUCAUGCUUCUAGUCCCAGCACUUUGGGAGGCUGAGGUGGGUAGAUUGUUUGAAGCCAGGAGUUCGAGACCAGUCUGGUCAACAUGGCGAAACCCCGUCUCUACUGAAAAUACAAAAAUUAGCUGGGCAUGGUCGCGGGUACCUGUAAUCCCAGCUACUUGGGAGGCUGAGGCAGGAGAAUCACUUGAACCUGGGAGGCGGAGGUUUCAGUGAGUCGAGAUUGCAUCACUGCACUCCAGCCUGGGCAGCAGAGAGAGACCCUGUCUCAGAAAACAAACAAAUUAAACUACAGAGGUAUAGUAGCCAAAAAAGCAUAGUACUGGUAUAAAAACAGACACAUAGACCAAUGGAACAGAAUGAAGAACUCAGAAAUAAGUCUUUGUACUUAGAGCCAACUCAUUUUCAACAAAGGCACUAAGAACACAUACUGGGGGGGAAAAGAGUCUCCUUAAUAAAUGGUGCUGGGAAAACUGUAUAUCUGUUUGCAGAAAAAUAAAACCGGAUCCCCAUCUUUCAUCAUAUACAAGUAUCAACUCAAAAUGAAUUCAAGACUUAAAUGUAAGACCUAAAACUAUGAAUCUGCUAGAACAAAACACUGAAGAAAUGCUACAGGACAUUGGUUUGGGCAAAGAUUUUUUAGGGUAGGACCGCAAAAGAAUAGGAAGUCAAAGCAAAAAAUAGAAAAAUGGGAUUACAUCAAGCUAAGAAGCUUCUAGACAGCAAAGGAAGGAACAAAGUGUAGAGACAGCCUUCAGAAUGGAAGAACAUAUCUGCAAACUAUCCAUCUAACAAUGAAUUAAUACAUAGAAUAUGUAAGAAAUGUAAACAAUUCAAUAGCAAAAUAACAAUCUGAUUUUUUUUUAAUGGGCAAAAGAGCUGGGUAAAAAUUUCUCAAGACAUACAAAUGGCCACAGGUAGAUUACAAAAUGCUCAACAUCACUAAUCAUCAGGGAAAUGCAAAUCAAAACCACAAUGAGUUAUCAACUCACUUCAGUUAGAAAUCUAUUAUCAAAAAGAGAAAAAA
This 6318-nucleotide long non-coding RNA is filed under the name Homo sapiens (human). Its description in RNAcentral is "HSALNT0129056". The record is from RNAcentral. Lineage: Eukaryota; Metazoa; Chordata; Mammalia; Primates; Hominidae.